UUCUGUAGCAGAGCUUAACGGAGACCUUGCACCCGAGAGGGGGAAGGCGACUAUAAAUAAGCUUCUAGCGCAAGUCAGCACUGCUGGCAACACAAUCGAAUUGCGGGGACGCUUUAAAGCCUACCGGUACCAACCGCCCUGUCCAGGGUGGGGCGAGCAUGCUCGGGGUCACAAUCUGGUAGGAUGGUACAAUAAGCAAUCCGCAGCGGCCCAGCCGUCCACAGACUAAGUGGUUGUGGGUAGGAGAUCCCUAUCUAAGAUAUAGUCGGGCCCAAGGAGAGAUUCUUGGGGCUUCUGCGUCCGUAGGUGAACCUGCGGAAGGAUCAUUAAUCAGGACCCCCUGGGUACGUCCCCGGGGUAUCCCCACCCGUGUCUAUCUACUCUUGUUGCUUUGGCAGGCCGUGGUCUCCACUGUGGGCUCUGCCUACAUGUGCCUGCCAGAGGACCAAACUCUGAAUGUUAGUGAUGUCUGAGUACUAUAUAAUAGUUAAAACUUUCAACAACGGAUCUCUUGGUUCUGGCAUCGAUGAAGAACGCAGCGAAAUGCGAUAAGUAAUGUGAAUUGCAGAAUUCAGUGAAUCAUCGAAUCUUUGAACGCACAUUGCGCCCUGUGGUAUUCCGCAGGGCAUGCCUGUUCGAGCGUCAUUAUAACCACUCAAGCUUGGCUUGGUAUUGGAGCUUGCAGUCUCGCAGCUUCUAAAAUCAGUGGCGGUGCCGGUGGGCUCUACGCGUAGUAAUUCUCCUCGCGAUUGAGUUCCUCUGGUGGCUUGCCAAAAUCCCCAAUUUUUCAGGUUGACCUCGGAUCAGGUAGGGAUACCCGCUGAACUUAAGCAUAUCAAUAAGCGGAGGAAAAGAAACCAACAGGGAUUACCUCAGUAACGGCGAGUGAAGCGGUAACAGCUCAAAUUUGAAAGCUGCCAACAGGCCGCGUUGUAAUUUGUAGAAGAUGCUUUGGGUGUCGGCCUAGUCUAAGUUCCUUGGAACAGGACGUCAUAGAGGGUGAGAAUCCCGUAUGUGACUAAUGCUGGCGCCCGUGUAAAGCUCUUUCGACGAGUCGAGUUGUUUGGGAAUGCAGCUCAAAAUGGGUGGUAAAUUUCAUCUAAAGCUAAAUAUUGGCCAGAGACCGAUAGCGCACAAGUAGAGUGAUCGAAAGAUGAAAAGCACUUUGGAAAGAGAGUUAAACAGUACGUGAAAUUGUUGAAAGGGAAGCGCUUGCAAUCAGACUUGCAGGUAGUCGAUCAUCCGAGGUUCUCCCCGGUGCACUCGAUUAUCUUCAGGCCAGCAUCGGUUUCGGUGGCGGGAUAAAGGCUGUGGGAAUGUGGCUCUUCGGAGUGUUAUAGCCCACGGUGCAAUGCCGCCUACCGGGACCGAGGACCGC
Molecule: unclassified non-coding RNA, 1378 nt
Filed under: leaf metagenome
Description: partial contains small subunit ribosomal RNA, internal transcribed spacer 1, 5.8S ribosomal RNA, internal transcribed spacer 2, and large subunit ribosomal RNA
Rfam family: Eukaryotic large subunit ribosomal RNA (bases 794-1378)
Source: RNAcentral